UGGGGAAUCUUGCACAAUGGGGGCAACCCUGAUGCAGCGACGCCGCGUGAGCGAUGAAGCCCUUCGGGGCGUAAAGCUCUUUCGACCGGAACGAUAAUGACGGUACCGGGAGAAGAAGCUGCGGCUAACUACGUGCCAGCAGCCGCGGUAAUACGUAGGCAGCAAGCGUUGUUCGGAGUUACUGGGCGUAAAGCGCACGCAGGCGGCUCUGUUAGUCGGACGUUAAAGCUCUCGGAUUAACCGGGAGAGGCCGUUCGAUACUGCGGGGCUUGAGGUAGGGAGAGGAAUGCGGAAUUCCGGGUGUAGUGGUGGAAUGCGUAGAUAUCGGGAGGAACACCUGUGGCGAAAGCGGCAUUCUGGCCCUCACCUGACGCUGAGGUGCGAAAGCGUGGG
RNAcentral lists this ribosomal RNA (393 nucleotides) under uncultured bacterium. RNAcentral describes it as "bacterial SSU rRNA". It matches the Rfam family "Bacterial small subunit ribosomal RNA", at positions 355 to 765 of the family's 1533-position model. The record is from RNAcentral.